This 330-nucleotide unclassified non-coding RNA is filed under the name soil metagenome. Its description in RNAcentral is "partial contains 5.8S ribosomal RNA, internal transcribed spacer 2, and large subunit ribosomal RNA". The stretch from base 1 to 120 matches the Rfam family "5.8S ribosomal RNA", at positions 35 to 154 of the family's 154-position model. The record is from RNAcentral.
GAUGAAGAACGCAGCGAAAUGCGAUAAGUAAUGUGAAUUGCAGAAUUCAGUGAAUCAUCGAAUCUUUGAACGCACAUUGCGCCCCCUGGUAUUCCGGGGGGCAUGCCUGUUCGAGCGUCAUUUCACCACUCAAGCCUCGCUUGGUAUUGGGCGACGCGGUCCGCCGCGCGCCUCAAAUCGACCGGCUGGGUCUUCCGUCCCCUCAGCGUUGUGGAAACUAUUCGCUAAAGGGUGCCGCGGGAGGUCACGCCGCAAAACAACCCCAUUUCUAAGGUUGACCUCGGAUCAGGUAGGGAUACCCGCUGAACUUAAGCAUAUCAUAGCGGAGGA